RNAcentral lists this ribosomal RNA (353 nucleotides) under uncultured bacterium. RNAcentral's name for it is "bacterial SSU rRNA". It matches the Rfam family "Bacterial small subunit ribosomal RNA", at positions 917 to 1271 of the family's 1533-position model. The record is from RNAcentral.
GGGCCCGCACAAGCGGUGGAGUAUGUGGUUUAAUUCGAUGCAACGCGAAGAACCUUACCAGGGUUUGACAUCCUGCGAAUCUCUUGGAAACGAGAGAGUGCCUUCGGGAACGCAGUGACAGGUGGUGCAUGGCUGUCGUCAGCUCGUGUCGUGAGAUGUUGGGUUAAGUCCCGCAACGAGCGCAACCCACGUCGUUAGUUGCCAGCAUUUAGUUGGGCACUCUAGCGAGACCGCCGGUGAUAAACCGGAGGAAGGUGUGGAUGACGUCAAGUCAUCAUGCCCCUUACAUCCUGGGCUACACACGUGCUACAAUGGCGAUGACAGUGGGCAGCGACCCCGCAAGGGUGAGCUAA